This 447-nucleotide ribosomal RNA is filed under the name uncultured bacterium. RNAcentral describes it as "bacterial SSU rRNA". It matches the Rfam family "Bacterial small subunit ribosomal RNA", at positions 329 to 792 of the family's 1533-position model. The record is from RNAcentral.
UGCCAGACUCCUACGGGAGGCAGCAGUCGGGAAUAUUGCGCAAUGGAGGAAACUCUGACGCAGUGACGCCGCGUGCAGGAAGAAGGUUUUCGGAUUGUAAACUGCUUUAGACAGGGAAGAUACAAGACAGUACCUGUAAAAUAAGCUCCGGCUAACUACGUGCCAGCAGCCGCGGUAAUACGUAGGGAGCAAGCGUUAUCCGGAUUUAUUGGGUGUAAAGGGUGCGUAGACGGGAAGGCAAGUUAGUUGUGAAAUCCCUCGGCUUAACUGAGGAACUGCAACUAAAACUAUCUUUCUUGAGUGCUGGAGAGGAAAGUGGAAUUCCUAGUGUAGCGGUGAAAUGCGUAGAUAUUAGGAGGAACACCAGUGGCGAAGGCGGCCUACUGGGCUUUAACUGACGCUGAAGCACGAAAGCGUGGGUAGCAAACAGGAUUAGAUACCCUGGUA